GUCCUGUUAGCUCAGUUUUUUAGAGCGCCGAGCUAAUAACGUGGAGGUCAAGAGUUCGAUCCUCUAACGGACCA
Daphnia pulex (common water flea) is the source of this 74-nucleotide non-coding RNA. The record is from Rfam. Lineage: Eukaryota; Metazoa; Arthropoda; Branchiopoda; Diplostraca; Daphniidae.